CCUACGGGUGGCAGCAGUGAGGAAUAUUGGUCAAUGGCCGGAAGGCUGAACCAGCCAAGCCGCGUGAAGGACGAAGGUGCCAAGCAUUGUAAACUUCUUUUGUCAAGGGACAAAAUCAGGCUCGAGAGCCUGACCGAGGGUACUUGAAGAAAAAGCAUCGGCUAACUCCGUGCCAGCCGCCGCGGUAAUACGGAGGAUGCGAGCGUUAUCGGGAUUUAGUGGGUUUAAAGGGUGCGUGGGCGGGCUGUUAAGUCAGCGGUAAACGCCCGGGGCUAAACCCCGGCGAGCCGUUGAGACUGGCAGUCUUGAGAUGGCGAGAGGUAUGCGGAAUG
This 332-nucleotide ribosomal RNA is filed under the name uncultured bacterium. Its description in RNAcentral is "partial 16S ribosomal RNA". It matches the Rfam family "Bacterial small subunit ribosomal RNA", at positions 338 to 668 of the family's 1533-position model. The record is from RNAcentral.